Molecule: unclassified non-coding RNA, 378 nt
Filed under: uncultured Actinomycetes bacterium
Lineage: Bacteria; Bacillati; Actinomycetota; Actinomycetes
Description: uncultured actinobacterium contains 16S-23S intergenic spacer region
Source: RNAcentral
UCCGGCUUGCCACCGGCAGUUCCACUAGAGUGCCCAGCUUAACCUGAUGGCAACUAGCAGCGAGGGUUGCGCUCGUUGCGGGACUUAACCCAACAUCUCACGACACGAGCUGACGACAGCCAUGCACCACCUGUAUAGGACCCUUACGGACCCCCCAUCUCUGGAGGAUUUCCCUAUAUGUCAAACCCAGGUAAGGUUCUUCGCGUUGCAUCGAAUUAAAGAACAUGCUCCGCUGCUUGUGCGGGCCCCCGUCAAUUCUUUUGAGUUUUAGCCUUGCGGCCGUACUCCCCAGGCGGGGUGCUUAAUGCGUUAGCUUCGGCACGGAGAGGGUUGAAGACCUCCCCACACCUAGCACCCAACGUCUACGGCUGGGACUAC